RNAcentral lists this ribosomal RNA (208 nucleotides) under uncultured bacterium. RNAcentral's name for it is "partial 16S ribosomal RNA". It matches the Rfam family "Bacterial small subunit ribosomal RNA", at positions 568 to 774 of the family's 1533-position model. The record is from RNAcentral.
UGCGUAGGCGGCUAGGCAAGUCAGACGUGAAAACCAUGGGCUCAACCUGUGGACUGCGUUUGAAACUGUUUAGCUUGAGUGAAGUAGAGGUAGGCGGAAUUCCCGGUGUAGCGGUGAAAUGCGUAGAGAUCGGGAGGAACACCAGUGGCGAAGGCGGCCUACUGGGCUUUAACUGACGCUGAGGCACGAAAGCAUGGGUAAGCAAACA